GAUGAAGAACGUAGCGAAAUGCGAUAAGUAAUGUGAAUUGCAGAAUUCAGUGAAUCAUCGAAUCUUUGAACGCACAUUGCGCCCGCCAGUAUUCUGGCGGGCAUGCCUGUUCGAGCAUCAUUUCAACCCUCAAGCCCAGCUUGGUGUUGGGGAUCGGCACAGGCGCCCUCGGGCGCCCGCCGUCCCCUAAAUCUAGUGGCGGUCCCGCUGCAGCCUCCUCUGCGUAGUAGUUUUCUCCUCGCAAGGGCAGCUCGGUGGCGACCUCGCCGUAAAACCCCCAACUUCUGAAAGGUUGACCUCGAAUCAGGUAGGAAUACCCGCUGAACUUAAGCAUAUCAAUAAGCGGAGGA
This 350-nucleotide unclassified non-coding RNA is filed under the name soil metagenome. RNAcentral describes it as "partial contains 5.8S ribosomal RNA, internal transcribed spacer 2, and large subunit ribosomal RNA". The stretch from base 1 to 120 matches the Rfam family "5.8S ribosomal RNA", at positions 35 to 154 of the family's 154-position model. The record is from RNAcentral.